RNAcentral lists this ribosomal RNA (253 nucleotides) under uncultured bacterium. RNAcentral's name for it is "partial 16S ribosomal RNA". It matches the Rfam family "Bacterial small subunit ribosomal RNA", at positions 524 to 776 of the family's 1533-position model. The record is from RNAcentral.
UACGUAGGUGGCGAGCGUUGUCCGGAUUUACUGGGCGUAAGGAGCGCGCAGGCGGUCGUUCAAGUCGCGUGUGAAAGCCCCCGGCUCAACUGGGGAGGGUCACGCGAUACUGAUCGACUCGAAGGCAGGAGAGGGAAGUGGAAUUCCCGGUGUAGUGGUGAAAUGCGUAGAUAUCGGGAGGAACACCAGUGGCGAAGGCGACUUCCUGGCCUGUUCUUGACGCUGAGGCGCGAAAGCUAGGGGAGCAAACGGG